This 548-nucleotide small RNA is filed under the name Pongo abelii (Sumatran orangutan). RNAcentral describes it as "processed transcript". Lineage: Eukaryota; Metazoa; Chordata; Mammalia; Primates; Hominidae. The record is from RNAcentral.
AAGAAUUCCCUGCUGUUCUAUACCUCAGUGGACGUCCGUGAAUUGAAUUGGAGGACGAGUAAGUCGUGAAUUAAAUUAUACUCGCCAGAAGAUUGGAGAAGAGGCUAUGUUUAAUCCUCAACUCAUGAUACAGACCCCUAAAGAAGAAGGUGCUAACAUCCUGACCACAGAAGCCCUCCUACAACACCUGGACUCGGCACUCCAGGCCAGCCGUGUCCACGUAUACAUGUACAACAGGCAGUGGAAAUUGGAACAUUUGUGUUACAAAUCAGGAGAGCUUAUCACAGAAACAGGUUACAUGGAUCAGAUAAUAGAAUAUCUUUACCCUUGUUUGAUUAUUACACCUUUGGACUGCUUCUGGGAAGGGGCGAAAUUACAGUCUGGGACAGCAUACCUCCUAGGUAAACCUCCUUUGCGGUGGACAAACUUCGACCCUUUGGAAUUCCUAGAAGAGUUAAAGAAAAUAAACUAUCAAGUGGACAGCUGGGAGGAAAUGCUGAAUAAGGCUGAGGUUGGUCAUGGUUACAUGGACCGCCCCUGCCUCAAUC